GUCAAGGCAGCGGGCUGGGCGACCGGAAGCACGGUACGGGCCGUGCACCGUCCUGUCACCCUUGGAGACGUGAGUGCUGACCUCGGCGGCGAAGGAGUGGGUUUUUAAACCUGCUCUCCUUCGCCGCCGUGGGGCAAGAUGAACUCUUCAGAACUAGUUAACGUCUUUGAAGCGGACAUUCAGCACCGGACCAGAGAGACUGAAAACAUUUCUAAGAUGUGCUUGCAAAAGUUGAUUUUAUCAUAGAAGAGGAGGUAAAAGCAGCACCAAAUGAACCUCCACUUGGAAGAAGCUAGUGCCAGAGACUCUCAGUGGCACUUCUACCUCUGGGGCAAUUAACCCUCAGUUAACCAGCAAGCCUUCAGCUGACCCGUCUACCAGCUCAUAGAUUUUUACCGUGGAAACAAAAUAUGUCAUUCAUAAACCUGCCUGGGAUGGUGCAUUUGGAUUUUAAAAAAUUGUCAGCUUUUGUAGAUGAUUCAAAAGGAUCCUUUGACACCAACGUCCCUGACAAAGAUCCAGCAAUGUACCGGAGUGGUGGUUUUUGGACCCAUCAACUAAAGUAGUAACAGCGGAAGCACUGCUUGAAGAUGAAAAAGAUGACAGAAGUAGCUAUAGCAGCCAGGGUGAUCACACAAGCAGAUGGGGGAAUUCAUUUGUUUCCCAUCCUCCAAUCAUGAACUAUUUACCAUGGAGUUCAAAAUGGACAGUCCUUCAUGUGCUGUUGCCAUCAUGAAAAGACAGGCACAGCAAAAUGUGAAAAUGAUUAAUGCUACAGCAAAUGAGAAGAGGACCAGGAACACUCACCAUUGUCUGCAGUCUGUGUCAUUCUCUUGCUGAUUGCUUAGAAUUAGUCUGCCGAAGAAAACAGUACUUCAGAGGAAACAUUGAAGGCACAAACUCAAUUCCAGCUAUCUUUUGACGAGCUAAUGUGUUUUUCUGCAGAUGUUUUGUCAUCUCACUAGGUGACAUUAUCCGUUUACCUCGGGUAAAGCGUUGGUGGUCCAGUCCGGCUGAUAUUUGUGUCUCUGUUUUCUGCUACCUCUGGUUCUGUAUCUGAGUGGAUUGAAUAUGGGGUCCAGUUCAAUAUGUUUGUUGGUUGAGUUUCGGUGGAGUGCCAGGUCACAAGGAAUUCUGUCACGUGUCUCUGUUUUGCCUGUGCUAGGAUGGUUACAUUGUCCCAGUUGAAUUCAUGUUCUUCAUUGUCUGUGUGGGUGGAAAUGAGAGUACUGGUCAUGUCUGACAGUGGAAAACUGAUGUUCAUGCAGUCAUUUAGUCAGUUUUCUUCCUAUUUGUCCUAUGUAAUGUUUUUCACAAUCCUCACAGGAUAUCUUGUAGAUUAUGUUUGUCCUGUUGGAUGUAUCUUUUGGGUCUUUAACUUCUGGUGCUGGUGAGAGGUGUUUAUUGGUUUGUGGGCCACUAAGAUUCCGUGGGGUCUGAGUAGUUGGGUAGUCAUUUCUGACAUGUCCUUGAUGUAGGUAUGGUCACUAUCAUGUCUGGUUGAGUAACAUUUUCUUCUUUAGGUUUGUUGUGUAAGUACCAGAGGAUAAUGCUCUUAGGAUACUCGCUCCGUUUAAAUCCCUUGAAUAAGCAUUCCCAUUCUGCUCUCUGAAGUUCUGGGUUGCUGCAGAGUGUCCUUGCCUGUUUAAAUACAGUUUCAUUUGUGGGGGCUGGAGUGGUUGCUGUUACAGUUCAGUAUUUGGUCUGUAUGGGUGUUCUUCCUGUACACACUGGUCAGGAGUUCACCGGUAGGUGUGUAUUCCACUAAUACGUCCAAGAAGAGGAGUCUGCUGCUAUUCUCCUUUAGUGAACUUUAUUCCAGUGAGGAUGUUAUGGAUAUGAUGGUGAGUUUCUUCCAGUUGUGUAUGUUUAAUGAUGACAAAAUUAUUAUCUAUAUACCGGCCUGCUCUUCUAUCUUGAUAAUUAGGUGAGGUAUAUGAGCUAAGUAGAAAGCUACAUAGGCUGUCACCAAGAGAGAGGACACAUCCAGAAGAUGAAUUCUAAACAUUCCACUUAUGCUGGGUCCUGAGUGGCUGACCAUAGAUUUAAUUGUAUCUGUUUAGAAGCCCCAAAACAUUAUGAGCUGAUUUCAAGAUAUUAGUUGCUAUUAUUCACUUCAAAUGGUUCAUCAAUCUCUGUGGUCGAAACAUCCUAUUUGGAUCUACUGACGUUUCUACCAUAGAAGAUGAAUAUAAAUAUUCCUGAUAGAAUCACUUGCUCCAGAUUGAAGUACAUUAUGUUGAAUGCUUGUUAUAUAUAAAUGUUGAAUUUGGCACUGAACUUUGCUGUGACCCAUGCUAUCUGAUUCAGAUCAUCUAAGGUGAUCUUCAGUGACUCUGUGAGGUGUCAUCCAGCAUCCUUUUUAUAACCAAACCUCAGAGAUCUGAAUCUGAAAGCUCUGAGGCAAGGGAAUAAUUUUUGCAAAGUCUUUGUUCUGCUCUGCUGACUCCACAUUAUAUUUUGGAGUCCUCUGGCACUGAGAAUAAAGGAUGAAGUUGUACUGCAUAUACACAGGGAUUAAGUCUUUUUUAAAAUUUUUCUGUAUUUUUUAUUGAGGACUGAAAUAGGGAGAAAAAAAGUUUUUAAAACCAAGGAUUGAUGGAGCUUCCAUCACCUUUUGGAAAGCAAGUAACCUAACACUUAUUAUAAGCACAGCUACUUGUCUGAGUAGUGUUUUAAGUGUAAUUUGAAGCCUAGCUAGAGCCAAGGACUGUGGACAAAUGGAGAUUCAACCUGCAACAAUUAGCUGAUUGGUCCAUGGACUAGUGACCAGUUACUGAUGACAAAGGUCUUCAGUCUGUCAGAUUGGCUCCCAGGUAGUUGAAUCAUGUGGAGCUGUGAACAAGAAAGGGAGAAGUCAUCAAUCUUCACAAACAUAGGAACUGCCUCUUCUCUGCAAAAAAGCCAUUUUAAGCCUGAAGAAAAUCAAUUUGCUUUUCCUUUAGUAGUUGCUGUAAGCUGUGACUUUUAAUUAAUAAAUCAAAGAUCUUUACAACUAUGAACUGUUCAUCCUGUGCUUUCUGCAAAUGAGUAAAAACAUCCAGAGAUAAAGACUAAGAAGCAAUAUCUGAUCUGCACAAGAAUCAUCUCACUGAAUAUUUUCCCAGUCAUUGCUUUUGCCUAAAAAACCUUAUUUUGUUUCCUGUUUAUGUCUGUCUGUGUAUGUGUGUAGAGUGUGAAUUCAUAAGGGGGUUAGAAUAUUA
Non-coding RNA from Chiloscyllium plagiosum (whitespotted bambooshark), 3203 nucleotides. Lineage: Eukaryota; Metazoa; Chordata; Chondrichthyes; Orectolobiformes; Hemiscylliidae. The record is from RefSeq and is a predicted model, not a curated record.